AUUGAACGCUGGCGGCAGGCCUAACACAUGCAAGUCGAGCGGAUGAAGGGAGCUUGCUCCUGGAUUCAGCGGCGGACGGGUGAGUAAUGCCUAGGAAUCUGCCUGGCAGUGGGGGAUAGCGUCCGGAAACGGGCGCUAAUAACGCAUACGUCCUGAGGGAGAAAGUGGGGGAUCUUCGGACCUCACGCUAUCAGAUGAGCCUAGGUCGGAUUAGCUAGUUGGUGGGGUAAAGGCCUACCAAGGCGACGAUCCGUAACUGGUCUGAGAGGAUGAUCAGUCACACUGGAACUGAGACACGGUCCAGACUCCUACGGGAGGCAGCAGUGGGGAAUAUUGGACAAUGGGCGAAAGCCUGAUCCAGCCAUGCCGCGUGUGUGAAGAAGGUCUUCGGAUUGUAAAGCACUUUAAGUUGGGAGGAAGGGCAGUAAGUUAAUACCUUGCUGUUUUGACGGUACCAACAGAAUAAGCACCGGCUAACUUCGUG
Molecule: ribosomal RNA, 484 nt
Filed under: uncultured bacterium
Lineage: Bacteria
Description: partial 16S ribosomal RNA
Rfam family: Bacterial small subunit ribosomal RNA
Source: RNAcentral